This 567-nucleotide long non-coding RNA is filed under the name Coturnix japonica (Japanese quail). RNAcentral describes it as "lncRNA (ENSCJPG00005001373.1)". The record is from RNAcentral. Lineage: Eukaryota; Metazoa; Chordata; Aves; Galliformes; Phasianidae.
ACCCAGCGAUCUAUACAAAUCACUUCCCAACAUGGCACUCACUCUUUUAAUCUGAGGCAGAUAACCGGCGCAUCCCGGAGAAGCUUCAGCUCUCAUCUGGGUGACAGAUAAGAAAUUUCAUCGGACAGGUUUCCCUUGUGAUAGACAGAAGUAAUAUCUCCGGCAGCAGGAGUGCUCAACCAUGCAUGAAAGCCCGCUGGAGUCCUGAGUGCAGACAGUGCUAAGAAACAAGGCAGGGCACAGGGCGCUGAUGCUGGCGGUAAACACGUACGAAAGCAGCUCUGCACAGAUGCCUUUGUGAUGAUGAAGAGUCAAAAUGUUGCACUUCAGGGAUUCUCCAGACCUUGCCUGUACUGGGGAAUAAAUUCAGGAGCAGGAGGUGCCAGUCCUGGCUUCCACCACGGGCUUCCAGAAAAGGUGGUGGGAAAAUACACCCAGCAUUGUUUACUCACAAAGAAAAGCAGAAAUGAAGGGGCAGAGGAUGUUGGGCUGCUGCUGUGAGAGGUACAGAUGGUCCUGGGAACAAAAGGAGCUGAGUAAACAAAGUGAACACCAGUUUUUCGCUUC